RNAcentral lists this ribosomal RNA (433 nucleotides) under uncultured bacterium. RNAcentral's name for it is "partial 16S ribosomal RNA". It matches the Rfam family "Bacterial small subunit ribosomal RNA", at positions 29 to 507 of the family's 1533-position model. The record is from RNAcentral.
AACGAACGCUGGCGGCAUGCCUAACACAUGCAAGUCGAACGAGACCUUCGGGUCUAGUGGCGCACGGGUGCGUAACGCGUGGGAACCUGCCCUUAGGUUCGGAAUAACUCCCCGAAGGGGGUGCUAAUACCGGAUAAUGUCUUCGGACCAAAGAUUUAUCGCCUUUGGAUGGGCCCGCGUUGGAUUAGCUAGUUGGUAGGGUAAAAGCCCACCAAGGCGACGAUCCAUAGCUGGUCUGAGAGGAUGAUCAGCCACACUGGGACUGAGACACGGCCCAGACUCCUACGGGAGGCAGCAGUGGGGAAUAUUGGACAAUGGGCGAAAGCCUGAUCCAGCAAUGCCGCGUGAGUGAUGAAGGCCUUAGGGUUGUAAAGCUCUUUUACCCGGGAUGAUAAUGACAGUACCGGGAGAAUAAGCUCCGGCUAACUCCGUG